RNAcentral lists this ribosomal RNA (601 nucleotides) under uncultured marine eukaryote. Its description in RNAcentral is "bacterial SSU rRNA". It matches the Rfam family "Eukaryotic small subunit ribosomal RNA", at positions 716 to 1235 of the family's 1831-position model. The record is from RNAcentral.
UUACGCAUGUGACGCAUGCUUGGCCGCCCGUCGUUAUCACUGUGAAGAAAACAGCGUGUUCAAGGCAGCCGCAAGCGGUUGUAUGACAAAGCAUGGAAUGACAAAGCAUCGACCAGUGGUCGUCGUAUCUUUUGUCGGUUUUUACGAUCCAUUUGGAUAAUUUGUGGUCAGAGUAUUUCGUUCACCAUUCGUGGUAGCGGAACUUUGGCGAACACGGGAUUAAUGGGGGUUGUCGGGGGAAAACGUAUCUGAGCGUGAGAGGUGAAAUUCUUAGACCGCUCGGGGACGAACUUAUGCGAAGGCAUUUUCCAAGUAUACCUUCAUCAAUCAAGAACUAAAGUGUGGAGAUCGAAGAUGAUUAGAUACCAUUGUAGUCCACUACUGCAAACGAUGACGCCCAUGGAUCGGAUAGUUUUUUGCUCCGAUGGGAUCUUUUCGGCACUGCUCCCCCUUCAACGCGAAAGCUGAGGCUAUGGUCUCAUGGGGGAGUACGUUCGCAAGGCUGAAACUUAAAGAAAUUGACGGAAUGGCACCACCAGGCGUGGAGUGUGCGGUUUAAUUUGACUCAACACGGGGAACCUUACCAGGACAGGACAACGCA